AGAACGAACGCUGGCGGCAUGCCUAACACAUGCAAGUCGAACGAGACCUUCGGGUCUAGUGGCGCACGGGUGCGUAACGCGUGGGAACCUGCCCUUAGGUUCGGAAUAACUCCUCGAAAGGGGUGCUAAUACCGGAUGAUGUCUUCGGACCAAAGAUUUAUCGCCUAUGGAUGGGCCCGCGUUGGAUUAGCUAGUUGGUGAGGUAAAGGCUCACCAAGGCGACGAUCCAUAGCUGGUCUUAGAGGAUGAUCAGCCACACUGGGACUGAGACACGGCCCAGACUCCUACGGGAGGCAGCAGUAGGGAAUAUUGGACAAUGGGCGCAAGCCUGAUCCAGCAAUGCCGCGUGAGUGAUGAAGGCUUAGGUUGUAAAGCUCUUUACCGAGAUGAUAAUGACAGUAUCGGAAGAAUAAGCCCCGACUAACUCCGUGCCAGCAGCCGC
Molecule: ribosomal RNA, 442 nt
Filed under: uncultured soil bacterium
Lineage: Bacteria
Description: bacterial SSU rRNA
Rfam family: Bacterial small subunit ribosomal RNA
Source: RNAcentral